CAUGGUCGGACAUCAUGCGGUUAGUGCAAAGGCAUAAGCCAGCUUGACUGCGAGAGUGACGGCUCGAGCAGGUACGAAAGUAGGUCUUAGUGAUCCGGUGGUUCUGAAUGGAAGGGCCAUCGCUCAACGGAUAAAAGGUACUCCGGGGAUAACAGGCUGAUACCGCCCAAGAGUUCAUAUCGACGGCGGUGUUUGGCACCUCGAUGUCGGCUCAUCACAUCCUGGGGCUGAAGUAGGUCCCAAGGGUACGGCUGUUCGCCGUUUAAAGUGGUACGCGAGCUGGGUUUAGAACGUCGUGAGACAGUUCGGUCCCUAUCUGCCGUGGGCGUUGGAAGAUUGAAAGGGGCUGCUCCUAGUACGAGAGGACCGGAGUGGACGCACCACUGGUGUUCGGGUUGUCAUGCCAAUGGCAUUGCCCGGUAGCUAAGUGCGGAAGAGAUAACCGCUGAAAGCAUCUAAGCGGGAAACUUGCCUUGAGAUGAGUCUUCCCUGACYCUUUAAGRGUCCUAAAGGAACGUUUAAGACUAAGACGUUGAUAGGUUGGGUGUGUAAGCGUAGCGAUACGUUGAGCUAACCAAUACUAAUGAACCGUGAGGCUUAACCUG
RNAcentral lists this ribosomal RNA (605 nucleotides) under Providencia rettgeri. RNAcentral's name for it is "partial 23S ribosomal RNA". Lineage: Bacteria; Pseudomonadati; Pseudomonadota; Gammaproteobacteria; Enterobacterales; Morganellaceae. The record is from RNAcentral.